This 468-nucleotide ribosomal RNA is filed under the name uncultured bacterium. Its description in RNAcentral is "partial 16S ribosomal RNA". It matches the Rfam family "Bacterial small subunit ribosomal RNA", at positions 28 to 507 of the family's 1533-position model. The record is from RNAcentral.
GACGAACGCUGGCGGCGUGCUUAACACAUGCAAGUCGAACGGAAAGGCCCUGCUUUUGUGGGGUGCUCGAGUGGCGAACGGGUGAGUAACACGUGAGUAACCUGCCCUUGACUUUGGGAUAACUUCAGGAAACUGGGGCUAAUACCGGAUAGGAGCUCCUGCUGCAUGGGGGGGGUUGGAAAGUUUCGGCGUUUGUGUAUGGACUCGCUGCUUAUCAGCUUGUUAGUUGGGUAGUGGCUUCCCACGGCUAAGACGGGUAGCCGGCCUGAGAGGGUGACCGGCGACAAUGGGACUGAGAUAGGGACCAGAAUCCUACGGGAGGCAGCAGUGGGAAAUAUUACAGAAUGGGCGGAAGCCUGAUGCAGCAGCGCUGCGUUCGGAAUAACGUCCUUCGGGUUGUGAACCGCUUUCUCCUGUGCCGAAGAGUGAGUGACGGUAAUGAGUCAAGAAGCACCGGCUAACUACGUG